ACUGCUCAGUAACACGUGGACAACCUGCCCUUUAGGUUGGGUAUAAACCCGGGAAACUGGGUAUAAUACCCGAUAGGUCUCGAUUGCUGGAAUGCAUCGAGAUUUAAAGCUCCGGCGCCUAAGGAUGGGUCUGCGGCCUAUCAGGUAGUAGUGGGUGUAGCGUACCUACUAGCCUACGACGGGUACGGGUUGUGAGAGCAAGAGCCCGGAGAUGGAUUCUGAGACACGAAUCCAGGCCCUACGGGGUGCAGCAGGCGCGAAAACUUUACAAUGCUGGCAACAGCGAUAAGGGAACCUCGAGUGCCAGGUUACAAAUCUGGCUGUCGAGAUGCCUAAAAAGCAUUUCAUAGCAAGGGCCGGGCAAGACCGGUGCCAGCCGCCGCGGUAACACCGGCGGCUCGAGUGGUAACCGUUAUUAUUGGGUCUAAAGGGUCUGUAGCCGGCCGGAUAAGUCUCUUGAGAAAUCUGGCAGCUUAACUGUCAGGCUUUCAGGAGAUACUGUCUGGCUCGAGGCCGGGAGAGGUGAGAGGUACUUCAGGGGUAGGGGUGAAAUCUUGUAAUCCUUGAAGGACCACCAGUGGCGAAGGCGUCUCACCAGAACGGACCUGACGGCAAGGGACGAAAGCUAGGGGCACGAACCGGAUUAGAUACCCGGGUAGUCCUAGCCGUAAACGAUACUCGCUAGGUGUCAGCCACGGUGCGACCGUUGUCGGUGCCGUAGGGAAGCCGUGAAGCGAGCCACCUGGGAAGUACGGCCGCAAGGCUGAAACUUAAAGGAAUUGGCGGGGGAGCAC
RNAcentral lists this ribosomal RNA (794 nucleotides) under uncultured archaeon. RNAcentral describes it as "bacterial SSU rRNA". It matches the Rfam family "Archaeal small subunit ribosomal RNA", at positions 85 to 879 of the family's 1478-position model. The record is from RNAcentral.